Long non-coding RNA from Macaca mulatta (Rhesus monkey), 1758 nucleotides. The record is from Ensembl. NCBI's taxonomy places the organism in Eukaryota, Metazoa, Chordata, Mammalia, Primates, Cercopithecidae.
AGAUGCUGACCUUUGAAGGCUGAAAUCUGAUCACACUCCAGGCUUGGGAGUACUGAGCCUUCAGCUCUCACCCAAGGCAACUGAGGCACACACUGGAAGCCCUCAUUUGUCUCUCUGGAAAGUGAAUAUUAAAUCCUAUGCUUUUUAGGAUAUAUUAUCUCCAACCUGGUUACAUCUAUUUCAUCCUACCAGAAAAAGCCAGCGAAUUGAAAUGUUAAAAAUAAUGACUACUGAGCACUUAGCUAUGUAAAGUGAAAUAUCAUUCUGGGGCUACAGAUAUCAUGGCAAUAUGCCACUGCAGCAAAAUGUUUGGAUGAUGUUCUCAGCUGCCUUGCAAAUCAAAACUCUGCAUAAUAAGUCUGCAAAGACUCAAGCCUCAAUUCAAUACACACAGCAGACAAUGGGUAGUGGAAUUUCAACUUUCUCAGGAAGAAAGGAACUAACCCAAACCAGGUUUUUUACACAAAGCCACCAGCCUGGUUUGCACACACAAGAAUGAAGGCCGGAGUUACCACGAGAAACAAGCUGCUUUUUUGGAAAACAGAUGAGGACGCACCCACCACCAGACCCUGCUCACAGACUGGGACUCAGACUGUAAUUUCCCAACAUGAAAGCCACUGAAGUAAAACUGCUUCUGAAUGGGGGUCACCUGCACCAUCAGUUUCUUUUCUACUGAAUUAUUUCCAUCCACAUAAAAGUAUCACUUAAUAUUUCAUAUAUAAUAUGUCUUUUAUUGUAGUAAAGUAUAUGUAACAUAAAAUUUACGAUAUUACCAUUUUAACCCUUUAACCAUUUUUAGAUGCACAAUUCUGUGGCAUUAAGCACAUUCGCAUUGUUGCACAAUCACCACCACUAUCCAUUUUGUUUUUCAUCUUCCUAAACCAAAACUGAAGACCCUUUAAACACUAACUCUUCAUUCCCUCCUUUCCCAGCCCCUGGCAACCACCAUACUACUUUCUGCCUCUAUGAAUUUCACCAAUCUAGGACCUCACAUAAAUGGAAUCAUACAAUAUUUAUCCCUUGUGUUUUUUAAACAAAAUGCCUUCUCUUGACCCCAUAUCUUCUUCCAAUCGUAGCCCUAUUUUUCUAAUCUCCACCAGAGUAAAACUUUUAGAAAAAGCUGUCUGUACUUGGCUCCACUUUCUCCCUUCUCAUCCUCUCUCCAAGUCAUUCUAAAGGGACUUUCAUCCCUAAUAUUUGUCAAAUAUUGACAAAGUCAAUGAUCAAUGCUUUGUCCUUGUAUUACCCAACCCAAUCCACUCAGUAGCAUUUGAAACGUCUGACCACUGCCUCCUCCUAGAAACACUAUGCUCUCCAUCCCUCCCUGACUGUAAACUUGCCUGGUUCUCCUCCUACCUCAUGGCUGCUCUUCCUCCAGCUUUUUUGUUGGCUCCUCCCCCAACUACCAGAUCGCCAAAGGUCAGAGUGCCCCAGGGCUCCGUCCUUGAUUCUCUUCUCUUUUCCAUGCACACAGUGUCACUCAAAGCCUUGGUAUGCAUGCCAGUGUCAGUCCAUUAACUGUUUGUUACCAGACUGCAAUGACAGAAGUACAGAAACUGACUAAGCCUUUAGAAAGUUCUAAUCACAAUUUGACAGUAUAUGUUUAUAGUCUUGCAUCUAAGAAUAAAAAAUUAGGCUUGAAUUUGAUAGUUUUUUUAAUAGUUUAUAUUUCAUUUUUAUAAUGAUUUAUACCAUUGUAUUUUACAAAGUAUUGGUUUGCAUCAGAUUGGAUUAGAAAAAUAAAACUGGUCCUUCCCC